RNAcentral lists this long non-coding RNA (331 nucleotides) under Ananas comosus (pineapple). Its description in RNAcentral is "long non-coding RNA (ACOM_LNC037981)". The record is from RNAcentral. Lineage: Eukaryota; Viridiplantae; Streptophyta; Magnoliopsida; Poales; Bromeliaceae.
CAAUAAAAAAAAAUCUGUAUUUAUUUUUAUACGUAAUAUUAUCUUUUACAGUAAAUUAAUUAUAAUAUAUUUUCUAUCAAUUUUUUUUAUUUUUGAUGAGUAAAUUUACAAUAAUAAAGCGUAAAAAAAAAUUUGUUUUUAACUACGUUUUAGGCUUCGUUUGGAAUAAAAUAUAAUGUUUGUUGUUUCCGUACGUAAUAUUACGUUUCACAUAUCGCGAUGAGUCGGUUACGAUAUAUUUUUUGCGGUUCAUCAGAGAACAUAAAAGCAUAUCACUAUAUGGCUAGCAUUAGAUAGGAUAAUCUAGUAGUAGUAUAUUGGGAUAUUUUUA